Molecule: unclassified non-coding RNA, 273 nt
Filed under: uncultured Glomeraceae
Lineage: Eukaryota; Fungi; Glomeromycota; Glomeromycetes; Glomerales; Glomeraceae
Description: sequence contains 5.8S rRNA gene, ITS2, 28S rRNA gene
Source: RNAcentral
AACGCAAAUUGCACUCUUCGGUCUUCCGGGAAGUAUGCCUGUUUGAGGGUCGGUAAAAUGAAACAUCGAUUUGUUGCUUGUUUGCAACAUUUCGGAGUUGGGUUAACUUUUGAUAUUCUCAAGUGACCUAAAAUUCAUACCUCGGUAUGAUUAACGUUCUUAAAUGAUUUCGUUCUGAGUGCCGAAUUUAUUAGACGUGACUAUCUUAUAGCAUCACUUCUAUAAUUUUUGAAUUUCGACCUCAAAUCAAGCAAGAUUACCCGCUGAACUUAA